CAGCCGUAAACUAUGCGCGUUAGGUGUAUCGGUGACCACGAGUUACCGAGGUGCCGAAGGGAAACCGUGAAACGUGCCGCCUGGGAAGUACGGUCGCAAGGCUGAAACUUAAAGGAAUUGGCGGGGGAGCACCACAACAGGUGGAGCCUGCGGUUUAAUUGGACUCAACGCCGGGAAGCUCACCGGAUAGGACAGCAGAAUGAUUGCCGGGCUGAAGACUCUGCAUGACUAGCUGAGAGGUGGUGCAUGGCGUCAGUGACU
Molecule: ribosomal RNA, 261 nt
Filed under: uncultured archaeon
Lineage: Archaea
Description: partial 16S ribosomal RNA
Rfam family: Archaeal small subunit ribosomal RNA
Source: RNAcentral